RNAcentral lists this ribosomal RNA (491 nucleotides) under uncultured bacterium. Its description in RNAcentral is "partial 16S ribosomal RNA". It matches the Rfam family "Bacterial small subunit ribosomal RNA", at positions 29 to 506 of the family's 1533-position model. The record is from RNAcentral.
AGUGAACGCUGGCGGUAGGCCUAACACAUGCAAGUCGAACGGCAGCACAGUAAGAGCUUGCUCUUACGGGUGGCGAGUGGCGGACGGGUGAGGUAUACAUCGGAAUCUACUUUUUCGUGGGGGAUAACGUAGGGAAACUUACGCUAAUACAGAAUACGACCUACGGGUGAAAGCAUUGGAUCAUUGGAUUUUGCGCGAGUGAAUGAGACGACGUAGGAUUUGCUAGUUGGCGGGGUAACGGCCCACUACGGCGACGAGUCGUAGCUGACCUGAGAGGAUGAUCGUACCCAGUCGGACUGGGAGACCGUCCAGACUCGUACGGGAGGACGCAGUGAAGACUUUUGGAAAAUGGCAGCAAGCCUGAUCGAGCCAUACCGCGUGGGUGAAGAAGGCCUCCGCGUGGUAAGGCUCUCUUGUUGGGAAAGAAAAGCAGCAGGUUAAAACCCCGCUGUUCUGACGUAACCCAAAGAAUAAGCACCGGCAACCUUCGU